UGAGUAACACGUAUCCAACCUGCCGUCUACUCUUGGCCAGCCUUCUGAAAGGAAGAUUAAUCCAGGAUGGCAUCAUGAGUUCACAUGUCCGCAUGAUUAAAGGUAUUUCCGGUAGACGAUGGGGAUGCGUUCCAUUAGAUAGUAGGCGGGGUAACGGCCCACCUAGUCUUCGAUGGAUAGGGGUUCUGAGAGGAAGGUCCCCCACAUUGGAACUGAGACACGGUCCAA
This 228-nucleotide ribosomal RNA is filed under the name uncultured bacterium. RNAcentral describes it as "partial 16S ribosomal RNA". It matches the Rfam family "Bacterial small subunit ribosomal RNA", at positions 107 to 334 of the family's 1533-position model. The record is from RNAcentral.